Molecule: ribosomal RNA, 253 nt
Filed under: uncultured bacterium
Lineage: Bacteria
Description: partial 16S ribosomal RNA
Rfam family: Bacterial small subunit ribosomal RNA
Source: RNAcentral
UACGGAGGGUGCAAGCGUUAAUCGGAAUUACUGGGCGUAAAGCGUACGCAGGCGGUCUGUCAAGUCUGAUGUGAAAUCCCCGGGCUCAACCCGGGGACUGCAUUCGAAACUGGCAGACUAGAGGCUUGUAGAGGAAGGCGGAAUUCCCAGUGUAGCGGUGAAAUGCGUAGAGAUUGGGAAGAACACCAGUGGCGAAGGCGGCCCCCUGGGCUAUGACUGACGCUGAGGUGCGAAAGCGUGGGGAGCAAACGGG